Molecule: long non-coding RNA, 172 nt
Organism: Daphnia carinata
Lineage: Eukaryota; Metazoa; Arthropoda; Branchiopoda; Diplostraca; Daphniidae
Exons: 3
Source: RefSeq, a predicted model, not a curated record
CAGUUCGUCGAGGCAACGAAACUUUGAUACCAACGAUAUCAAUCGUCGGUGGAACUCCCGCUAGCGCCGGUGAAUUUUCUCACUUGACCAGUCUGGAUUUGAAAGGAGAUAGAUGCGGUGGGACUUUGAUUAGACCAUUCCAUGUCUUGACAACGGCUCAUUGUUUGAAUAG